RNAcentral lists this ribosomal RNA (390 nucleotides) under Cryothecomonas sp. Its description in RNAcentral is "partial small subunit ribosomal RNA". It matches the Rfam family "Eukaryotic small subunit ribosomal RNA", at positions 582 to 975 of the family's 1831-position model. The record is from RNAcentral. Lineage: Eukaryota; Cercozoa; Thecofilosea; Cryomonadida; Protaspidae.
AUUCCAGCUCCAAGAGCGUAUAUUAAAGUUGUUGCAGUUAAAAAGCUCGUAGUUGGAUUUCUGGUACAACGCGCCUGGCCCGCAUUUGUGAGUGCCGGCGCGCGUUUGCCAUCCUUCUAGAAAACGUUUCUACCUGGGCAACUGGGCCGGACUCGCGAUCUAGAUCUUUUACUUUGAAAAAAUUAGAGUGUUUAAAGCAGGCUUUUGCUGUGAAUACAUUAGCAUGGAAUAAUAAUCUAGGACUUCGGUUCUAUUUUGUUGGUUUCUAGUACUGAAGUAAUGAUUGAUAGGGAUAGUUGGGGGUGCUAGUAUUGGCCGGCCAGAGGUGAAAUUCUUGGAUUCGGUCAAGACUAACUUAUGCGAAAGCAUUCACCAAGGAUGUCUUCAUCA